Molecule: transfer RNA, 95 nt
Filed under: Candidatus Nitrosocosmicus oleophilus
Lineage: Archaea; Thermoproteati; Nitrososphaerota; Nitrososphaeria; Nitrososphaerales; Nitrososphaeraceae
Description: Candidatus Nitrocosmicus oleophilus tRNA
Rfam family: tRNA
About the family: Transfer RNA (tRNA) molecules are approximately 80 nucleotides in length. Their secondary structure includes four short double-helical elements and three loops (D, anti-codon, and T loops).
Source: Rfam by way of RNAcentral
GGGUCCGUAGCUCAGCAUGGAUAGAGCGCCUGCCUUCUAUCUAAGAUAAUUAAGAAGAAAGCCGGAAGUCGAGGGAUCGAAGCCCUUCGGGCCCG